GACGAACGCUGGCGGCAUGCCUAACACAUGCAAGUCGAACGGAGCCAUCUAAACAAUCCCUUCGGGGUGCGUUUGGGGAAGCUUAGUGGCGGACGGGUGAGUAACGCGUGAGUAACCUGCCUUUCAGAGGGGGAUAACGUUUCGAAAGGAACGCUAAUACCGCAUAACGUAUUUUUACCGCAUGAUAGAGAUACCAAAGAUUUAUCGCUGAAAGAUGGACUCGCGUCUGAUUAGCUAGUUGGUGAGGUAACGGCUCACCAAGUCGACGAUCAGUAGCCGGACUGAGAGGUUGAACGGCCACAUUGGGACUGAGACACGGCCCAGACUCCUACGGGAGGCAGCAGUGGGGAAUAUUGCACAAUGGGCGAAAGCCUGAUGCAGCAACGCCGCGUGAGGGAAGACGGUUUUCGGAUUGUAAACCUCUGUCUUUGGUGAAGAUAAUGACGGUAGCCAAGGAGGAAGCCACGGCUAACUACGUG
Molecule: ribosomal RNA, 479 nt
Filed under: uncultured bacterium
Lineage: Bacteria
Description: bacterial SSU rRNA
Rfam family: Bacterial small subunit ribosomal RNA
Source: RNAcentral